This 432-nucleotide ribosomal RNA is filed under the name uncultured bacterium. RNAcentral describes it as "bacterial SSU rRNA". It matches the Rfam family "Bacterial small subunit ribosomal RNA", at positions 29 to 507 of the family's 1533-position model. The record is from RNAcentral.
AGCGAACGCUGGCGGCAGGCCUAAUACAUGCAAGUCGAGCGGGUCCUUCGGGACUAGCGGCGGACGGGUGAGUAACGCGUGGGAACGUGCCCUUUGGUACGGAACAACUGAGGGAAACUUCAGCUAAUACCGUAUGUGCCCUUCGGGGAAAGAUUUAUCGCCAUUGGAGCGGCCCGCGUUGGAUUAGGUAGUUGGUGAGGUAAAGGCUCACCAAGCCUACGAUCCAUAGCUGGUCUGAGAGGAUGACCAGCCACACUGGGACUGAGACACGGCCCAGACUCCUACGGGAGGCAGCAGUAGGGAAUCUUGCGCAAUGGGCGAAAGCCUGACGCAGCCAUGCCGCGUGAAUGAUGAAGGUCUUAGGAUUGUAAAAUUCUUUCACCGGGGACGAUAAUGACGGUACCCGGAGAAGAAGCCCCGGCUAACUUCGUG